GCCUGCGCUUUGCGAGGUUCCUGGCUAGGGAGGCGGCCUUGGCUGGCUUGACCGUCAUCCUUGAGGCCUGCGGGGCAACGGUGGCUGUCCUUGGCCCGGCUUUGGAAUGUGGCUUUGCAGGGCUGGUGUUGGCGCCAUUCUCGCAGGCCCACGUGCUCCUGCUCUUCCAGGGUGUCCUCGGCUGUUUCUCCUGCCGCGGCGCAGCAGCGCUCCCAGGCUGCCCCCGCGAUAACACGCCCCUGGCAGCCAGGCUCCCAGCUCUGUUACGUGCCCGGGCGGGGAAGAGCUUCCUGGUGUCUCCCGGCUCCUGCCCUUCUCCCGCCCCAGGGGCGGGCUGCCGCCGCCCUCUGCAGCUGAGUCAGUGCAGUUCCUCACCUACCUUCUCUGCUCACCGCUGUGUGCUAGCAAUCGGAGGACCCUUGGCACACGGAGCGACAGGGGCCUCCCCCACAGACACCUCAUUUUGGGAAAGAAGCUGUACAGGAGGCAUGGCUGGGGAGGCCUCAGAAAACUUACAAUCAUGGCAGAAGGUGAAGGGGAAGCCAGCACAUCUUCAUAUGAUGGCAGGAACUUUAUAUGUUAUAGAAGUUAGCCCCAAGAAUGAAAUCGUGUCCUUUGCCAAAACAUGGAUGGAGCUAGAGGCCUUUAUCCUAAGAGAUAGGAUGGAGUGUCACCAAGAUAGAAGACAAAAACAUAAGCUGUGAAAUGUGAUUAUAAAGUAGUGACAUGAGUGCCAGAAACCACGGAGGAAACGUCUCCUUGUUCUGGAUCCACACUUCAUACGUGGUCAUUGAAACGUGGCAUCAAACGGGAGGAAUGUGAUGGGCCAGGUUAGGGGAAGAGCACCAAGCAGGGCCUUUCCCUGGGAGAUGGCACCACGUGACAUGCUUCAUACGGAAGCACAUGGGCCCUCAGCGCUGGUAUCUUGCUUCACCUGGGGAUGGUGAUGAAAUGAUGCAGAGCUGACUCAAUACGAUACAGAGCUGACUCAAUACGAUGUGUGGGAUCUUCCAUCGUGAAGCAGCUGGGAGCACCAGGAGGCAGGUUUUCCCGUGCUUAUGGAAAGCACCACAUUGUUCUGCUGGGGACAUGUUCUUUUACUCCAAGGAGUAGUGGAUGUGCAAUGGGCUGUCCUGCCCGUAGAGAUGUGUGGGGCUGGCUGCUGAGAACAGAUGGCAACUGGCUGGCUCUGAUGCCUCAGAAGAGGUGAAUGCAUUCGGAGAGGCCACAGCUGAGAGUCCCUCAAACUGGGGAGUUAUUAUUCUAAAAGUUGGAUUUUUAGCAAGAUUUUACCAGGUGAGGCUGAUUAAAUGAUGGUGGCAGGGGCGGGGAGAAAAACAAAUAAAAGUGAGUUGAAGUCAACCUCUCCA
This 1370-nucleotide long non-coding RNA is filed under the name Homo sapiens (human). RNAcentral describes it as "TAGAP antisense RNA 1". The record is from RNAcentral. Lineage: Eukaryota; Metazoa; Chordata; Mammalia; Primates; Hominidae.